RNAcentral lists this ribosomal RNA (467 nucleotides) under uncultured bacterium. Its description in RNAcentral is "partial 16S ribosomal RNA". It matches the Rfam family "Bacterial small subunit ribosomal RNA", at positions 28 to 506 of the family's 1533-position model. The record is from RNAcentral.
GAUGAACGCUGGCGGCGUGCUUAACACAUGCAAGUCGAACGGUGAAGGCGGAGCUUGCUCUGCUGGAUCAGUGGCGAACGGGUGAGUAACACGUGAGCAAUCUGCCCCUGACUCUGGGAUAAGCGCUGGAAACGGCGUCUAAUACUGGAUACGAGCUGCGAAGGCAUCUUCAGCAGCUGGAAAGAAUUUCGGUCAGGGAUGAGCUCGCGGCCUAUCAGCUUGUUGGUGAGGUAAUGGCUCACCAAGGCGUCGACGGGUAGCCGGCCUGAGAGGGUGACCGGCCACACGGGGACUGAGACACGGCCCAGACUCCUACGGGAGGCAGCAGUGGGGAAUAUUGCACAAGGGGCGAAAGCCUGAGGCAGAAACGCCGGGUGAGGGACGACGGCCUUCGGGUUGUAAACCUCUUUUAGCAGGGAAGAAGCGAAAGUGACGGUACCGGCAGAAAAAGCGCCGGCUAACUACGU